GUGCUCGUUUGGGCAGCACAUAUACUAAAAUUGGAACGAUACAGAGAAGAUUAGCAUGGCCUCUGCACUAGAACAUCAUGCAAAUUCGUGAAGCAUUCCAUAUUUUU
This 107-nucleotide small nuclear RNA is filed under the name Myotis brandtii (Brandt's bat). Lineage: Eukaryota; Metazoa; Chordata; Mammalia; Chiroptera; Vespertilionidae. The record is from RNAcentral.